Molecule: long non-coding RNA, 1008 nt
Filed under: Glycine max (soybean)
Lineage: Eukaryota; Viridiplantae; Streptophyta; Magnoliopsida; Fabales; Fabaceae
Description: long non-coding RNA (GMAX_LNC004613)
Source: RNAcentral
GCUCUGACACCAUCGACAACGUCAAGGCCAAGAUCCAGGACAAGGAAGGAAUCCCCCCGGACCAGCAACGUCUCAUUUUCGCCGGAAAGCAACUUGAGGACGGCCGUACCCUUGCUGACUACAACAUUCAGAAGGAGAGUACUCUUCACCUCGUCCUCCGUCUCCGUGGUGGCAUGCAGAUCUUCGUUAAGACACUCACCGGCAAGACCAUAACCCUAGAGGUUGAAAGCUCCGACACCAUCGAUAACGUCAAGGCCAAGAUCCAGGACAAGGAGGGUAUCCCCCCGGACCAGCAACGUCUCAUCUUCGCCGGAAAGCAGCUCGAGGACGGCCGCACCCUCGCCGACUACAACAUCCAGAAGGAAUCAACCCUUCACCUCGUCCUCCGUCUCCGUGGUGGCAUGCAGAUCUUCGUUAAGACCCUCACCGGCAAGACUAUUACCCUAGAAGUCGAAAGCUCCGACACCAUCGACAACGUCAAGGCUAAGAUUCAGGACAAGGAGGGAAUCCCCCCAGACCAGCAGAGGCUGAUCUUCGCCGGGAAGCAGCUCGAGGACGGACGCACCCUUGCUGACUACAACAUCCAGAAGGAGUCAACUCUCCACUUGGUGUUGCGUCUUCGUGGUGGUAUGCAGAUUUUCGUGAAGACUCUUACGGGUAAGACUAUUACCCUCGAGGUGGAGAGCUCUGACACCAUUGACAAUGUGAAGGCCAAGAUUCAGGACAAGGAAGGCAUCCCACCGGACCAGCAGAGGCUGAUUUUUGCUGGCAAGCAGCUCGAGGAUGGAAGGACCCUCGCUGACUACAACAUCCAGAAGGAAUCAACCCUUCACCUUGUCCUCCGUCUCCGUGGGGGGUUUUAAGCUCGUUGUGUAAUGUUGGAUGUGUUCCCAAAACAUUUGAAGAACUUUGAUGUUUAAUGGGUCUGUAAUAAUGUCCCUUGAAAAUAAGUUCGGUUUGUGUUGAACUCAAUUGUGUCCCAUUAAUAAUAGUACUCUAAUAUCCCAC